RNAcentral lists this long non-coding RNA (1807 nucleotides) under Olea europaea subsp. europaea. Lineage: Eukaryota; Viridiplantae; Streptophyta; Magnoliopsida; Lamiales; Oleaceae. The record is from RNAcentral.
UCCACCGAUAUAAAAUAAUGAAAAUAAAUCAUAUGGAAACAUAACAAAUGAAUCAUGUUCUAAAUCACAUAUCUACAUAAUAAUAAAAUGAAAACAAUUGCUAGAAAUAAAAUCAUUGAGUCAUGUUACACCGGAUUUAAAUUUAUUGAGUCCAAAGAAUUCUAAGACCACGACUGCACAUCAUCACCCAUCAACCAACAACUCGUUCUAACCUACGAGAGGUAGGGAAAAAAGGUGAGUACAUUGAAAUACUCAUAGGACACAAAAAAUCAUGGUGCGGUCCCAAAUAAAAAUAUAUAAUUACAUUAAAUGUAUCAAAAUAUCAUACCGUCAUCAUAUCUUUAGAAACUAGUAAGAGCUCAAUAAAUAUCAUAUCUUUAGUAUCGGAUAACCAUAAUGUAAAUAUCAUAUCAUACCUUUAAACUUUCAUAAGCACAAUAAUUCAACAAUAUGAAAAUAAACAAUUUAAACUGAAUAAAACAAUUGCACCUCGUUAUCCUACGUUGUCGGAUCAAAUGAACUUUUGAGGAUACAAAACCAAAAAUCACGUUCCAGUUUUAUUUUUAGUGUGCUACCAUGUUUAUAAAAUUAUUUUUGUGGUGAAAGAAAUUGGACUUUUUCCAUGGAGAAAUUGGUUACAUAAAUGGAUAAAUAAAUAUAGGAGUAUCCUAUAGAAAGUGAAAGUUCAAUUUACCCAAAACUUGUAUCCAAGUCAAAUAAAAUAAUCUACUUUGACUCAAUUCCAACAACUCCUACACGUGGCUCCAUAAGUUAUUAAAACAUAUAAUUUAUUUUAAAGCACAACAAAAAGUAAUAUAAGAUCAUAUCAAAAUAUUUCAUCAAUCCUAAGAAUGCAACACGUCGAGCCCAUGGGAAGUUUGAUUAAUAACUAAACCGAAUGCAUUAUCAUAUCAAAGUAAAAUCUUUCAACUUUAAUAAUUUGGGCUUCGGUUAUUCGAACUAACUUUUUCUCGAGUCUAAAAUGCAUGAUUUAAUACGAUCUAUCCAACGAGUCCUAUAUUGAUAUAUUUAUCAUCGCUCUAUCAAAAUCUAGACAUUUGGCCCAAAUAAAAUUGAAUUAAUACAUAUAUCACUUUAUUCUCCCCAAUUUUCCAAAAUAUAAAAUAUGGCCUCUGAAAUAAUUAAAGUAUAUUCUAUAAAAUUUUCAGAACGUUAUAGUUAUUCUAAUAAACAAAAUCCAGCUUUACAAAGAAGUCUAACAACCUACACAAAUUUGGUUGUUAUCCUAUCAAUAAUAUCAGUCAUACUAACGUACACUAACACCCCUGGCAAACUGAUGGGUAGCAUGCAAAUCAUUAGUUUAGAACUCAAGAACUAAAGUCAUGAGGCUGUAUGCCCUCUAGAAACACCUUAGGAACUUAGUCUUUUGUAGAANUUGAUCGGAUCAUAUUGACGAAGGGAUUAUAGUUUCACGGUAAACGAACGAAUUUGGUUUUGUCAUACCACGUGACAUUUCCCGUCACAUGUAUUGCCCUGACACAUUGCUAGAUGUCAAUCAGGGACGGCGAAUGUGAAUUGACGAUAAAUUAAAAGGGUGUUUUAAUUUAUCAAUUUUGAUUAGAUCAAAAUAAUAUUUCACGUCGUUAGGCAUCGUGGUCGGGAACCUAAUGGGUCACACACAAAAGAGAAUUGGAAGAUUGCAAAUUGCCAAUUGAUUAAUUUAACAAUCGUUGGAUAAAUUAAUUAAUUGGAUUUGUUAUUUAUAUUUUCGAAUUAAUUAAUUGGAUUAAUUAAUUCACGGACCGGGUUUAAUUAAUUGGAUUAAUUAAUUAUUGGACCGGACCGG